GGGUUGUGAGGUUAAGCGACUAAGCGUACACGGUGGAUGCCCUGGCAGUCAGAGGCGAUGAAGGACGUGCUAAUCUGCGAUAAGCGUCGGUGAGGUGAUAUGAACCGUUAUAACCGGCGAUUUCCGAAUGGGGAAACCCAGUGUGUUUCGACACACUAUCAUUAACUGAAUCCAUAGGUUAAUGAGGCGAACCGGGGGAACUGAAACAUCUAAGUACCCCGAGGAAAAGAAAUCAACCGAGAUUCCCCCAGUAGCGGCGAGCGAACGGGGAGGAGCCCAGAGCCUGAAUCAGUGUGUGUGUUAGUGGAAGCGUCUGGAAAGGCGCGCGAUACAGGGUGACAGCCCCGUACACAAAAAUGCACAUAUUGUGAGCUCGAUGAGUAGGGCGGGACACGUGGUAUCCUGUCUGAAUAUGGGGGGACCAUCCUCCAAGGCUAAAUACUCCUGACUGACCGAUAGUGAACCAGUACCGUGAGGGAAAGGCGAAAAGAACCCCGGCGAGGGGAGUGAAAAAGAACCUGAAACCGUGUACGUACAAGCAGUGGGAGCCUCUUAAUGGGGUGACUGCGUACCUUUUGUAUAAUGGGUCAGCGACUUAUAUUCUGUAGCAAGGUUAACCGAAUAGGGGAGCCGAAGGGAAACCGAGUCUUAACUGGGCGUUAAGUUGCAGGGUAUAGACCCGAAACCCGGUGAUCUAGCCAUGGGCAGGUUGAAGGUUGGGUAACACUAACUGGAGGACCGAACCGACUAAUGUUGAAAAAUUAGCGGAUGACUUGUGGCUGGGGGUGAAAGGCCAAUCAAACCGGGAGAUAGCUGGUUCUCCCCGAAAGCUAUUUAGGUAGCGCCUCGUGAAUUCAUCUCCGGGGGUAGAGCACUGUUUCGGCAAGGGGGUCAUCCCGACUUACCAACCCGAUGCAAACUGCGAAUACCGGAGAAUGUUAUCACGGGAGACACACGGCGGGUGCUAACGUCCGUCGUGAAGAGGGAAACAACCCAGACCGCCAGCUAAGGUCCCAAAGUCAUGGUUAAGUGGGAAACGAUGUGGGAAGGCCCAGACAGCCAGGAUGUUGGCUUAGAAGCAGCCAUCAUUUAAAGAAAGCGUAAUAGCUCACUGGUCGAGUCGGCCUGCGCGGAAGAUGUAACGGGGCUAAACCAUGCACCGAAGCUGCGGCAGCGACGCUUAUGCGUUGUUGGGUAGGGGAGCGUUCUGUAAGCCUGUGAAGGUGGCCUGUGAGGGUUGCUGGAGGUAUCAGAAGUGCGAAUGCUGACAUAAGUAACGAUAAAGCGGGUGAAAAGCCCGCUCGCCGGAAGACCAAGGGUUCCUGUCCAACGUUAAUCGGGGCAGGGUGAGUCGACUCCUAAGGCGAGGCCGAAAGGCGUAGUCGAUGGGAAACAGGUUAAUAUUCCUGUACUUGGUGUUACUGCGAAGGGGGGACGGAGAAGGCUAUGUUGGCCGGGCGACGGUUGUCCCGGUUUAAGCGUGUAGGCUGGUUUUCCAGGCAAAUCCGGAAAACCAAGGCUGAGGCGUGAUGACGAGGCACUACGGUGCUGAAGUGACAAAUGCCCUGCUUCCAGGAAAAGCCUCUAAGCAUCAGGUAACAUCAAAUCGUACCCCAAACCGACACAGGUGGUCAGGUAGAGAAUACCAAGGCGCUUGAGAGAACUCGGGUGAAGGAACUAGGCAAAAUGGUGCCGUAACUUCGGGAGAAGGCACGCUGAUAUGUAGGUGAAGCGACUUGCUCGUGGAGCUGAAAUCAGUCGAAGAUACCAGCUGGCUGCAACUGUUUAUUAAAAACACAGCACUGUGCAAACACGAAAGUGGACGUAUACGGUGUGACGCCUGCCCGGUGCCGGAAGGUUAAUUGAUGGGGUUAGCGGUAACGCGAAGCUCUUGAUCGAAGCCCCGGUAAACGGCGGCCGUAACUAUAACGGUCCUAAGGUAGCGAAAUUCCUUGUCGGGUAAGUUCCGACCUGCACGAAUGGCGUAAUGAUGGCCAGGCUGUCUCCACCCGAGACUCAGUGAAAUUGAACUCGCUGUGAAGAUGCAGUGUACCCGCGGCAAGACGGAAAGACCCCGUGAACCUUUACUAUAGCUUGACACUGAACAUUGAGCCUUGAUGUGUAGGAUAGGUGGGAGGCUUUGAAGUGUGGACGCCAGUCUGCAUGGAGCCGACCUUGAAAUACCACCCUUUAAUGUUUGAUGUUCUAACGUUGGCCCCUGAUCGGGGUUGCGGACAGUGUCUGGUGGGUAGUUUGACUGGGGCGGUCUCCUCCUAAAGAGUAACGGAGGAGCACGAAGGUUGGCUAAUCCUGGUCGGACAUCAGGAGGUUAGUGCAAUGGCAUAAGCCAGCUUGACUGCGAGCGUGACGGCGCGAGCAGGUGCGAAAGCAGGUCAUAGUGAUCCGGUGGUUCUGAAUGGAAGGGCCAUCGCUCAACGGAUAAAAGGUACUCCGGGGAUAACAGGCUGAUACCGCCCAAGAGUUCAUAUCGACGGCGGUGUUUGGCACCUCGAUGUCGGCUCAUCACAUCCUGGGGCUGAAGUAGGUCCCAAGGGUAUGGCUGUUCGCCAUUUAAAGUGGUACGCGAGCUGGGUUUAGAACGUCGUGAGACAGUUCGGUCCCUAUCUGCCGUGGGCGCUGGAGAACUGAGGGGGGCUGCUCCUAGUACGAGAGGACCGGAGUGGACGCAUCACUGGUGUUCGGGUUGUCAUGCCAAUGGCACUGCCCGGUAGCUAAAUGCGGAAGAGAUAAGUGCUGAAAGCAUCUAAGCACGAAACUUGCCCCGAGAUGAGUUCUCCCUGAGACUUAGAGUCUCCUGAAGGAACGUUGAAGACGACGACGUUGAUAGGCCGGGUGUGUAAGCGCAGCGAUGCGUUGAGCUAACCGGUACUAAUGAACCGUGAGG
This 2905-nucleotide ribosomal RNA is filed under the name Escherichia coli. Its description in RNAcentral is "partial 23S ribosomal RNA". It matches the Rfam family "Bacterial large subunit ribosomal RNA". Lineage: Bacteria; Pseudomonadati; Pseudomonadota; Gammaproteobacteria; Enterobacterales; Enterobacteriaceae. The record is from RNAcentral.